AUUGAACGCUGGCGGCAGGCCUAACACAUGCAAGUCGAACGGUAACAGGAAGCAGCUUGCUGCUUCGCUGACGAGUGGCGGACGGGUGAGUAAUGUCUGGGAAGCUGCCUGAUGGAGGGGGAUAACUACUGGAAACGGUAGCUAAUACCGCAUAAUGUCGCAAGACCAAAGAGGGGGACCUUCGGGCCUCUUGCCAUCGGAUGUGCCCAGAUGGAUUAGCUUGUUGGUGGGGUAACGGCUCACCAAGGCGACGAUCCCUAGCUGGUCUGAGAGGAUGACCAGCCACACUGGAACUGAGACACGGUCCAGACUCCUACGGGAGGCAGCAGUGGGGAAUAUUGCACAAUGGGCGCAAGCCUGAUGCAGCCAUGCCGCGUGUAUGAAGAAGGCCUUCGGGUUGUAAAGUACUUUCAGCGGGGAGGAAGGGAGUAAAGUUAAUACCUUGGCUCAUUGACGUUACCCGCAGAAGAAGCACCGGCUAACUCCGUG
Molecule: ribosomal RNA, 489 nt
Filed under: uncultured bacterium
Lineage: Bacteria
Description: partial 16S ribosomal RNA
Rfam family: Bacterial small subunit ribosomal RNA
Source: RNAcentral